AGUGAACGCUGGCGGUAGGCCUAACACAUGCAAGUCGAACGGCAGCACAGUAAGAGCUUGCUCUUACGGGUGGCGAGUGGCGGACGGGUGAGGAAUACAUCGGAAUCUACUUUUUCGUGGGGGAUAACGUAGGGAAACUUACGCUAAUACCGCAUACGACCUACGGGUGAAAGCAGGGGAUCUUCGGACCUUGCGCGAUUGAAUGAGCCGAUGUCGGAUUAGCUAGUUGGCGGGGUAAAGGCCCACCAAGGCGACGAUCCGUAGCUGGUCUGAGAGGAUGGUCGGCCACACUGGAACUUAGACACGGUCCAGACUCCUACGGGAGGCAGCAGUGGGGAAUAUUGGACAAUGGGCGGAAGCCUGAUCCAGCCAUACCGCGUGGGUGAAGAAGGCCUUCGGGUUGUAAAGCCCUUUUGUUGGGAAAGAAAAGCAGCAGGUUAAUACCCCGCUGUUCUGACGGUACCCAAAGAAUAAGCACCGGCUAACUUCGUG
Molecule: ribosomal RNA, 492 nt
Filed under: uncultured bacterium
Lineage: Bacteria
Description: partial 16S ribosomal RNA
Rfam family: Bacterial small subunit ribosomal RNA
Source: RNAcentral